UUUUUUAAAUGCACUUAUAAUUAACUAUUGAAUUGUAACUGAAUUUUGCUAAGUGCAUUUGUAUAACAAUAAUAUUUUUGUAUUGUAAAAGAUUAAUCUAGUGAAUUUAGUACUCGCUAUAGAUUCGUGAAUUGUCGGUUAAAUUCAGCCUCAGGUUCUUGAACACACCGAGGUUUCAUGUAAUUAUAUUUUAACUUUUUAAAACACUUUCUUGUGAGCACUCACUUGUGUGCACUUACUUGUGAACACCCAUUUUUUAUACAUACUUCUAUGAAGUCAACCUAUACUUUAUUACCAUUUUGUGAAGUACAAUAAAAUCAAACACAUAAUUUGUAACCUGAAAUUGAAGAAUCUUAUUAAAAGUAAUUAUAAUUAAAGCUAAUUUUCCCAUAGCCCUUUGGUCAUCAAACAACUCAUUUUUUACCAUCAUCAUAAUAAACAAAACCCAAUCAAUUUUGUUCAUGGUCCAGUCGAACCGUCAAAUUGUUUAAGUGACUCUUGGAAAAAAUUAAACAAUUGUCUCUUGGAGAAAAUAAAAACAAUUGUCUCUUGAAGAAAACAAAAUUCACCACAAUAGAAAAACAAUGAGGUAAUGUACAAAACGAAGAUUUAAGGGCUCAUCAGUUACAAAUCAAACAUCAAGCAGCCAAAUCGAAGAUUAGAAACCACUCGCCCAAGCCAGCAACAAAGCACCAGGGAAACCUACCGAAGACGUGUGAUACUAAGAGAAUCACAGAUCUACAAAUGCGUAUUAUGCAAGAAGUACCAUGCAUUAAGAUUUUGUGUGAAAUUUUUGAAGAUGUCAUUACAACAGCGCCUAAAUGUGGUCAAAAGACACCACUACUGCCACAAUUGUCUGGCAAGAAGCCAUAUUUUACGGUCAUGCACGUCAAAGGAUACGUGCCGAAAAUGUAAGAAACUCCACCACACCUUGCUUCACCCUACACCACAAAACCAGCGACGCAAUUCCACCAGCCACAACAAUCAGCGUCAUCAACCACCAAUAACAUCAACAACCAGACAACAAUCAUCACAGCUUUUAGCAACGCCAGAUGCCAAAAUUAUCGUAAAAGCUAUAAAGUCUUUGGCUCAGGUCCUCUCAGCUUAAUUAUUUGUUGCAAUACUGCAAGGACGGCGCCAUGUCCAAACUACCUUUGAACACUUUAUUAUAAAUUAUGAAAUAAUUUAUAAAUGUUG
Molecule: long non-coding RNA, 1197 nt
Organism: Calliphora vicina (urban bluebottle blowfly)
Lineage: Eukaryota; Metazoa; Arthropoda; Insecta; Diptera; Calliphoridae
Exons: 3
Source: RefSeq, a predicted model, not a curated record